AAAUUAAUGUAUUUCUUGAGAAGCCCUAAAAGCUCAUAAAGGAAAAUGCUGUGAACUCUGUAGCUCAGGCUUGGUAAGGUACCAUAUAAAUUACAAAACAAACUAAUGCAUAAUUUUGCUUAAAUUUCAUCCCAGUAUGAUUAUCUUCCCAGCACCAGCAUACAGUAUAGAUUGUCUUUUUUAUAUUUUUUAGUUCUUCCUGUACAUGUUUUUGGCAAUAAAGUUAUAGGAAAAACAGAAUUAUUUUGUUAGAAUUAAAACAUGCUUAAUACUUAAGUCUUUUUAUGGAGGGCCAAGUAUUCACAUGGACUAAGAUACAAUGUUGGAUACAGAAGAUAACUUUCAUUGUCUUCCUGGCACUGUGCUAAGGGCAUGCUGUUAAAUCUUCAAAAUGACCAGAUGAGGAAGGAAUAAUUAUUACUCCUGAUUUGUAGAUAACUGAGACAUACACUGUCAAAUGGAAGAAAUUAAAGCCGCAUCCUCAAUAUUAGGCAACAGAGUUUCUAAGAGUGGACAGCUCCAAGAAGGUUGUGAAGGAAACUUCAGGCCGUGAGAAACACGGCUUCAUCAGAAUCCCGGUCCUUGCCACUGUCUUCACUCGGUGCAUGCUCACCGCCACUUGGAGACCGACAGCUCAAAUCCUCCACCCCGGACUCUUGGUCACUGUUGGCUGACAGAUCUGGAUCUGAACUUUUCAGAUUGUCUUGGGUUAGAAUCAGAGCAGAAUCUUCAUCACCUUGUGAAGGGCUCCGGGAUGGAAAUGAUUUCAUAUUCCCACUGUAAUCCUGGGGAGUGUUGGCUAUGCUGUUGUC
Molecule: small RNA, 812 nt
Filed under: Pongo abelii (Sumatran orangutan)
Lineage: Eukaryota; Metazoa; Chordata; Mammalia; Primates; Hominidae
Description: processed transcript
Source: RNAcentral